AAUCCGUCGACCUGAAAAAUCGUGAGGGUUCAAGUCCCUCUAUCCCCAAAAAG
This 53-nucleotide transfer RNA is filed under the name Maoutia setosa. Its description in RNAcentral is "partial tRNA-Leu". The record is from RNAcentral. RNAcentral also lists the same sequence under 2 other names. Lineage: Eukaryota; Viridiplantae; Streptophyta; Magnoliopsida; Rosales; Urticaceae.